Molecule: long non-coding RNA, 2804 nt
Organism: Brassica napus (rape)
Lineage: Eukaryota; Viridiplantae; Streptophyta; Magnoliopsida; Brassicales; Brassicaceae
Exons: 2
Source: RefSeq, a predicted model, not a curated record
UCAAAAUUUAUGAAUAUUUUGUCCAGCUCUAUCCGUAAACAAUAAAAAUAAUAUAUAUAUAUAUAUAUAUAGCUUUCGAUUUGUUAUUUGUUUUGAUUCGAACCGAAACAUCCGAAUAGUGUGAGUUUUAUUGGAAAUGUGCAUAUGAGUUUUAUAUUUAAAAAAUUGUAAAGUAUAUAGUGUGAAUACAUUUACGUAGAGUUUGGUUGAAGAGCUCUCUACACAUGAUACGUCAGUGUACUCGUUCUCAAUUCAUUAUGAGACUGCCAUAUAUCCAUUAGAGUGUGAACGUAUUUAUUACAAUGAUUUUCAUUUAAUAUUCAAAUUUUUAUUCCUAAAAGGAUGCAUAUUUAAACGUAAUUCAAUGAAAUAAUAUCAAAAUUGAAAUGAUAAAAACAGAAAUGAUUUCAUUAUGAAAAUAAAUAAAAAACAACACAAUUUUUUAUGUUUACUUUUUAUAAUUUAUGUAUGUAAUAAUUACUGAUUAUAAUUUUAGUAAAACCAUAUAUUUAAAUAAAAAUGUCUAUAUUUUAUUUUUUACAUAUUUAAUUGUAUUGAAUUUUAUAUUAACCUUAUACAUUAUUAUUUUUUAUUAAUUUAUCGUAUUAAUUAAUUUGUAGAGUUUAUAAUAUUUGUUGAUGAGAGUACUGAUCAUUAAUCUUGUAAAGUGCAAACCAACUGGAAACAUGUCGAUUAGGUUGUUGGCCGAUUUGUGAGAAGAGACAACUCAAAUGUGCGUACUUAAGUUAGUAUUAUCUCUUUUUCUUCGCUGUGAGAUAAGUUGCAAUAAUUGUUAUUUUUACCACCUAAUUUCUACAAUGAUUUGAAAAAUAUGAUUCUAUAAUUUAUGUCUAUAAUUUUAGUUAUGAUUUACAUUAAUCUUUUGUUGAAAUUAGAAUUCACAUGAUUAGUGAUAUUUGUUUGGAGAUAUAAAUGAAAUAUUUUUUUUAUUUUUUUUAUUUUUUUUGAAAAAAGGCUUUCACAUUUCACCUUAUUUUAUAAAGCUUAUAUAAACAAAGUUUUACACCAAUCUUUAUUUUGCAUACAAAAAAAAUCACGUCAUUUUCAACAAAUAUAUGUAUUCAUGCUGCAAUUCUAUCACAUAAGUUUUAAAUGAGAUCAAAUGUACUUUUCUUUGAAUUUUGAAAAAAAAUCAUGUAGUUAAGAAUAGAAAACAAAAAAUUAUAAAAUGAAUUACAUUAAAAAAAUACCAAGAAGCUUUGUAGAUAUUAUUAAGAUAUUUUGAUAAGAAUGUUGUGUAGAUAUUAUUAAGAUUUUUUUUAUAGUAGUUAAUUAUGUUAUUACAAACUAUAAGAAAUGUUACAUAGACGAUACUACUGCCAACAAUUUUAUCAAAAAAUAUAUUAAAAAAAAUUCUUAAUUUAAAUAUUAAACAAAUUAUAAUGACAAAAAAAUAUAAUAAUAAUUAUAAAUAUUCAGAUUGGAUAAUUGAGUCAGCUCACAAAUAAAAAGUGUACUUAAAAAAAAGUAUGAUAAUAUAGUUUUCAAAUAAAAUUUCAUAUAAGUAUAUAAGUGUAUUUCUCCAAAUUUUCUUUAAUAUAUAACUUAAAAAAAUAGUUGGGGUCGUGUAAAUACUCCAGUUACAAAAUUUGGGUUUUCGUUUCAUUUUUUUUUUUUUUUUUUUUUUUUUUUGUAGACUAGGAUGGGUUCGGGCCUUCGGCCUUAAUUCCACCCCAGGUCCGGGGCCGGCCGGCGCUGAUACCGAUAACAUGGCGUAAAGCACCCCUCCCCAUGGGAAUCGAACUAGGGAUGCAAUGAAACCUACUCCAAGCACUAAACCACUAGGCCAACGCACCUUGACCCAACGCACCUUGACGCUGAAAUUUUUUUGUUUUUUCUUGGAAUAUGCGAGAGUAUCGGCGUGGUUGAAGACACGAGAGAGACUCUUUCUUCUCCAUUUUUAUAGAGAGAAAGUGAAAGGGAAAUUAAAAAAAAAACAAAGGCGGAGUUCAAAUUCGUUUAGAUGAUGAUGGAGCUUUUGGAUCAUUAACAAUUUAAUUUCUUUCUUCUCAGAAAAUGGCUAUUUAAGAUCAACACCAUUCGUCUAAUCUCCUCUUACUCAACAACAGGUCCAUUUCCUCUACAAAUUUUUUCUUUUAUUUAUGUUUUUUUACCUCUGUACUGGUUACGGUUUUAUGUUGUUUGUGUGGGCAGAAACGGUAAAGAAGAGAAAAGGACUUCACGUUGUUGCAAUCACAAGCUCAAACCAAUAUGUUGUUCAACAAUGAAGGUUAUAAUCAGAGAAAAGGAGGAAGAGAAACGAUCCAACAUCAAUUACCUCUGCAAUCUCAGUGUCCUCAAGUUAUAGACUUAUCUCUGUUACACAACUACAAUCAUCCGCACUCGAGUAUGGUUUAUACAGGACUCCGGUUAGAGCGGAGGCUCAGGCUUGGCAAGCGAGAGCCAGUGCCCAGGAAGCCGCAGCCACGUCGCUGCAGGCUCAGCUGCAGCAGGCCGUUGACAUGCGUGGCGGUGGCGGUGUGUGGGCGCAAGAUGGUAGAGCGGAGGAGGAAGGGCUAUUGUGCGCAGUGGGUAACAUCGGUUUAGAGGACAAGGGAAGCGACGGUGGUGAUGUUGCCGUGUCGGCAUCUAAGUAUCUGCCCGGAAUGUGACCGGACAGCUCUAGCAUGCCCGUUGUGUCUUACGCUGCGGAAUUCAAGCGUUGAAGCUAUUCUUUGUUAAAUGGGCCCAAUUCAAAGCCCGUUAGUUUGUCAAUCCUAAAACACUUAUUUGUUAUUCACAUUAAGGAAUAUGAAUUCGAAAACAACACAAUGUUUACCUCA